AUUGAACGCUGGCGGCAUGCCUUACACAUGCAAGUCGAACGGCAGCACGGGGGCAAUCCUGGUGGCGAGUGGCGAACGGGUGAGUAAUAUAUCGGAACGUGCCCAGUCGUGGGGGAUAACGCAGCGAAAGCUGUGCUAAUACCGCAUACGAUCUACGGAUGAAAGCGGGGGAUCGCAAGACCUCGCGCGAUUGGAGCGGCCGAUAUCAGAUUAGCUAGUUGGUGAGGUAAAGGCUCACCAAGGCGACGAUCUAUAGCGGGUCUGAGAGGACGACCAGCCACACUGGAACUGAGACACGGUCCAGACUCCUACGGGAGGCAGCAGUGGGGAAUUUUGGACAAUGGGCGCAAGCCUGAUCCAGCAAUGCCGCGUGCAGGAUGAAGGCCUUCGGGUUGUAAACUGCUUUUGUACGGAGCGAAACGGUCUUUCCUAAUACGAGAGGCUAAUGACGGUACCGUAAGAAUAAGCACCGGCUAACUACGUGCCAGCCGCCGCGGUAA
This 500-nucleotide ribosomal RNA is filed under the name uncultured bacterium. RNAcentral describes it as "partial 16S ribosomal RNA". It matches the Rfam family "Bacterial small subunit ribosomal RNA", at positions 30 to 523 of the family's 1533-position model. The record is from RNAcentral.